CCUACGGGUGGCAGCAGUGAGGAAUAUUGGUCAAUGGGCGGGAGCCUGAACCAGCCAAGUCGCGUGAGGGAUGACGGCCCUAUGGGUUGUAAACCUCUUUUGCCGGGGAGCAAAGUGCCGCACGUGUGCGGUUUGGAGAGUACCCGGAGAAAAAGCAUCGGCUAACUCCGUGCCAGCAGCCGCGGUAAUACGUAGGGGGCAAGCGUUAUCCGGAUUUACUGGGUGUAAAGGGAGCGUAGACGGUUAUGUAAGUCUGGAGUGAAAGCUCGGGGCCCAACCCCGGGAGUGCUGUGGAAACUGUGUAACUGGAGGACAGGAGGGGCAGGCGGAAUUCGUGGUGUAGCGGUGAAAUGCGUAGAUAUCAGGAGGAACGCCGACGGCGAAGGCGGCCUGCUGGACUGAAACUGACGUUGAGGCUCGAAAGCGUGGGGAGCAAACAGGAUUAGAUACCCGAGUAGUC
This 460-nucleotide ribosomal RNA is filed under the name uncultured bacterium. RNAcentral describes it as "partial 16S ribosomal RNA". It matches the Rfam family "Bacterial small subunit ribosomal RNA", at positions 338 to 795 of the family's 1533-position model. The record is from RNAcentral.